RNAcentral lists this transfer RNA (72 nucleotides) under Neoporus sp. NHM-IR594. RNAcentral describes it as "tRNA-Val". The record is from RNAcentral. Lineage: Eukaryota; Metazoa; Arthropoda; Insecta; Coleoptera; Dytiscidae.
CAAAUUAGAGCUUGAGAGAGUAAAGCGUUUUAUUUACAUUAAAAAGUAGUUGUGCAAAUCAAUAUAGUUUGA